CGUGACGGGUGAGUAACACGUGGAUAACCUACCUAUAAGACUGGGAUAACUUCGGGAAACCGGAGCUAAUACCGGAUAAUAUAUUGAACCGCAUGGUUCAAUAGUGAAAGACGGUUUUGCUGUCACUUAUAGAUGGAUCCGCGCCGCAUUAGCUAGUUGGUAAGGUAACGGCUUACCAAGGCAACGAUGCGUAGCCGACCUGAGAGGGUGAUCGGCCACACUGGAACUGAGACACGGUCCAGACUCCUACGGGAGGCAGCAGGG
This 264-nucleotide ribosomal RNA is filed under the name uncultured Staphylococcus sp. RNAcentral's name for it is "partial 16S ribosomal RNA". It matches the Rfam family "Bacterial small subunit ribosomal RNA", at positions 98 to 354 of the family's 1533-position model. The record is from RNAcentral. Lineage: Bacteria; Bacillati; Bacillota; Bacilli; Caryophanales; Staphylococcaceae.